AUUGAACGCUGGCGGCAUGCCUUACACAUGCAAGUCGAACGGCAGCAUGAUCUAGCUUGCUCGAUUGAUGGCGAGUGGCGAACGGGUGAGUAAUACAUCGGAACGUGCCCUGUAGUGGGGGAUAACUGGUCGAAAGAUUAGCUAAUACCGCAUACGACCUGAGGGUGAAAGUGGGGGACCGCAAGGCCUCAUGCUAUAGGAGCGGCCGAUGUCUGAUUAGCUAGUUGGUGAGGUAAAGGCUCACCAAGGCGACGAUCAGUAGCUGGUCUGAGAGGACGAUCAGCCACACUGGGACUGAGACACGGCCCAGACUCCUACGGGAGGCAGCAGUGGGGAAUUUUGGACAAUGGGCGAAAGCCUGAUCCAGCAAUGCCGCGUGUGUGAAGAAGGCCUUCGGGUUGUAAAGCACUUUUGUCCGGAAAGAAAUGGCUCUGGUUAAUACCUGGGGUCGAUGACGGUACCGGAAGAAUAAGGACCGGCUAACUACGUG
RNAcentral lists this ribosomal RNA (490 nucleotides) under uncultured bacterium. Its description in RNAcentral is "partial 16S ribosomal RNA". It matches the Rfam family "Bacterial small subunit ribosomal RNA", at positions 30 to 507 of the family's 1533-position model. The record is from RNAcentral.